GACUGUUUGGCCGAGUGGUAUCAGGUGCCAGAUUUAGGCUCUGGUCCAAAAUGGCGUGGGUUCAAAUCCCACAACUGUCA
This is a transfer RNA of Ipomoea nil (Japanese morning glory), 80 nucleotides long. It matches the Rfam family "tRNA". Rfam says of the family: Transfer RNA (tRNA) molecules are approximately 80 nucleotides in length. Their secondary structure includes four short double-helical elements and three loops (D, anti-codon, and T loops). The record is from Rfam. Lineage: Eukaryota; Viridiplantae; Streptophyta; Magnoliopsida; Solanales; Convolvulaceae.